GGUAUCCUGUCUGAAUAUGGGGGGACCAUCCUCCAAGGCUAAAUACUCCUGACUGACCGAUAGUGAACCAGUACCGUGAGGGAAAGGCGAAAAGAACCCCGGCGAGGGGAGUGAAAAAGAACCUGAAACCGUGUACGUACAAGCAGUGGGAGCACAGAGCAAUCUGUGUGACUGCGUACCUUUUGUAUAAUGGGUCAGCGACUUAUAUUCUGUAGCAAGGUUAACCGAAUAGGGGAGCCGAAGGGAAACCGAGUCUUAACUGGGCGUUAAGUUGCAGGGUAUAGACCCGAAACCCGGUGAUCUAGCCAUGGGCAGGUUGAAGGUUGGGUAACACUAACUGGAGGACCGAACCGACUAAUGUUGAAAAAUUAGCGGAUGACUUGUGGCUGGGGGUGAAAGGCCAAUCAAACCGGGAGAUAGCUGGUUCUCCCCGAAAGCUAUUUAGGUAGCGCCUCGUGAAUUCAUCUCCGGGGGUAGAGCACUGUUUCGGCAAGGGGGUCAUCCCGACUUACCAACCCGAUGCAAACUGCGAAUACCGGAGAAUGUUAUCACGGGAGACACACGGCGGGUGCUAACGUCCGUCGUGAAGAGGGAAACAACCCAGACCGCCAGCUAAGGUCCCAAAGUCAUGGUUAAGUGGGAAACGAUGUGGGAAGGCCCAGACAGCCAGGAUGUUGGCUUAGAAGCAGCCAUCAUUUAAAGAAAGCGUAAUAGCUCACUGGUCGAGUCGGCCUGCGCGGAAGAUGUAACGGGGCUAAACCAUGCACCGAAGCUGCGGCAGCGACACUGUGUGUUGUUGGGUAGGGGAGCGUUCUGUAAGCCUGUGAAGGUGUGCUGUGAGGCAUGCUGGAGGUAUCAGAAGUGCGAAUGCUGACAUAAGUAACGAUAAAGCGGGUGAAAAGCCCGCUCGCCGGAAGACCAAGGGUUCCUGUCCAACGUUAAUCGGGGCAGGGUGAGUCGACCCCUAAGGCGAGGCCGAAAGGCGUAGUCGAUGGGAAACAGGUUAAUAUUCCUGUACUUGGUGUUACUGCGAAGGGGGGACGGAGAAGGCUAUGUUGGCCGGGCGACGGUUGUCCCGGUUUAAGCGUGUAGGCUGGUUUUCCAGGCAAAUCCGGAAAAUCAAGGCUGAGGCGUGAUGACGAGGCACUACGGUGCUGAAGCAACAAAUGCCCUGCUUCCAGGAAAAGCCUCUAAGCAUCAGGUAACAUCAAAUCGUACCCCAAACCGACACAGGUGGUCAGGUAGAGAAUACCAAGGCGCUUGAGAGAACUCGGGUGAAGGAACUAGGCAAAAUGGUGCCGUAACUUCGGGAGAAGGCACGCUGAUAUGUAGGUGAAGUCCCUCGCGGAUGGAGCUGAAAUCAGUCGAAGAUACCAGCUGGCUGCAACUGUUUAUUAAAAACACAGCACUGUGCAAACACGAAAGUGGACGUAUACGGUGUGACGCCUGCCCGGUGCCGGAAGGUUAAUUGAUGGGGUCAGCGCAAGCGAAGCUCUUGAUCGAAGCCCCGGUAAACGGCGGCCGUAACUAUAACGGUCCUAAGGUAGCGAAAUUCCUUGUCGGGUAAGUUCCGACCUGCACGAAUGGCGUAAUGAUGGCCAGGCUGUCUCCACCCGAGACUCAGUGAAAUUGAACUCGCUGUGAAGAUGCAGUGUACCCGCGGCAAGACGGAAAGACCCCGUGAACCUUUACUAUAGCUUGACACUGAACAUUGAGCCUUGAUGUGUAGGAUAGGUGGGAGGCUUUGAAGUGUGGACGCCAGUCUGCAUGGAGCCGACCUUGAAAUACCACCCUUUAAUGUUUGAUGUUCUAACGUGGACCCGUGAUCCGGGUUGCGGACAGUGUCUGGUGGGUAGUUUGACUGGGGCGGUCUCCUCCUAAAGAGUAACGGAGGAGCACGAAGGUUGGCUAAUCCUGGUCGGACAUCAGGAGGUUAGUGCAAUGGCAUAAGCCAGCUUGACUGCGAGCGUGACGGCGCGAGCAGGUGCGAAAGCAGGUCAUAGUGAUCCGGUGGUUCUGAAUGGAAGGGCCAUCGCUCAACGGAUAAAAGGUACUCCGGGGAUAACAGGCUGAUACCGCCCAAGAGUUCAUAUCGACGGCGGUGUUUGGCACCUCGAUGUCGGCUCAUCACAUCCUGGGGCUGAAGUAGGUCCCAAGGGUAUGGCUGUUCGCCAUUUAAAGUGGUACGCGAGCUGGGUUUAGAACGUCGUGAGACAGUUCGGUCCCUAUCUGCCGUGGGCGCUGGAGAACUGAGGGGGGCUGCUCCUAGUACGAGAGGACCGGAGUGGACGCAUCACUGGUGUUCGGGUUGUCAUGCCAAUGGCACUGCCCGGUAGCUAAAUGCGGAAGAGAUAAGUGCUGAAAGCAUCUAAGCACGAAACUUGCCCCGAGAUGAGUUCUCCCUGACCCUUUAAGGGUCCUGAAGGAACGUUGAAGACGACGACGUUGAUAGGCCGGGUGUGUAAGCGCAGCGAUGCGUUGAGCUAACCGGUACUAAUGAACCGUGAGGCUUAACCUU
Molecule: ribosomal RNA, 2518 nt
Filed under: Escherichia coli
Lineage: Bacteria; Pseudomonadati; Pseudomonadota; Gammaproteobacteria; Enterobacterales; Enterobacteriaceae
Description: partial 23S ribosomal RNA
Rfam family: Bacterial large subunit ribosomal RNA
Source: RNAcentral